Molecule: ribosomal RNA, 2347 nt
Filed under: Aureibacillus halotolerans
Lineage: Bacteria; Bacillati; Bacillota; Bacilli; Caryophanales; Bacillaceae
Description: partial 23S ribosomal RNA
Rfam family: Bacterial large subunit ribosomal RNA
Source: RNAcentral
AUGGGUGAUGGCGUGCCUUUUGUAGAAUGAACCGGCGAGUUACGUUCUUGUGCAAGGUUAAGCUGAAGAAGGCGGAGCCGUAGCGAAAGCGAGUCUGAAUAGGGCGAAUGAGUACAAGGUCGUAGACCCGAAACCGAGUGAUCUACCCAUGUCCAGGGUGAAGGGGAGGUAACACUCUCUGGAGGCCCGAACCCACGCGUGUUGAAAAACGCGGGGAUGAGGUGUGGGUAGGGGUGAAAUGCCAAUCGAACUCGGAGAUAGCUGGUUCUCCCCGAAAUAGCUUUAGGGCUAGCCUCAAGGAACGAGCUGCGGAGGUAGAGCACUGAUUGGACGAGGGGCCCCUACCGGGUUACCGAAUUCAGUCAAACUCCGAAUGCCGCAUGCUUUGCCUUGGGAGUCAGACGGCGAGUGAUAAGAUCCGUCGUCGAAAGGGAAACAGCCCAGACCACCAGCUAAGGUCCCCAAGUAUACGUUCAGUGGAAAAGGAUGUGGAGUUGCCCAGACAACCAGGAUGUUGGCUUAGAAGCAGCCACCAUUGAAAGAGUGCGUAAUAGCUCACUGGUCGAGUGACUCUGCGCCGAAAAUGUACCGGGGCUAAACGUAUCACCGAAGCUGUGGGUGAACACCAUUAGGUGUUCGCGGUAGGGGAGCGUUCCAAGGGCAGAGAAGCCUGACCGUAAGGACAGGUGGAGCGUUUGGAAGUGAGAAUGCCGGUAUGAGUAACGAAUGAGGAGUGAGAAUCUCCUCCAUCGAAAGCCCAAGGUUUCCUGAGGAAGGCUCGUCCGCUCAGGGUUAGUCGGGACCUAAGCCGAGGCCGAAAGGCGUAGGCGAUGGAAGACAGGUUGAGAUUCCUGUACCACCUCAUUUUCGUUUGAGCGAUGGGGGGACGCAGGAAGGCAGGGAAGCGCACGGAUGGAAGAGUGCGUCCAAGCAGCGAGACGGAAUGCGAGGCAAAUCCCGCAUUCAUAUACGUGGGGCUGUGAUGGGGAGCGAAAUUAUAGUAGCGAAGUUCCUGUGCGUACACUGCCAAGAAAAGCCUCUAGUGAGAAAAUAGGUGCCCGUACCGUAAACCGACACAGGUAGGCAAGGUGAGAAUCCUAAGAUGUUCGGGAAAACUCUCGUUAAGGAACUCGGCAAAAUGACCCCGUAACUUCGGGAGAAGGGGUGCUCUGUUAGGGUGCAAGCCCGAGAGAGCCGCAGUGACUAGGCCCAAGCGACUGUUUAGCAAAAACACAGGUCUCUGCAAAGCCGCAAGGCGACGUAUAGGGGCUGACACCUGCCCGGUGCUGGAAGGUUAAGAGGAGGCGUUAUCCCUUCGGGGAGAAGCGCUGAAUUGAAGCCCCAGUAAACGGCGGCCGUAACUAUAACGGUCCUAAGGUAGCGAAAUUCCUUGUCGGGUAAGUUCCGACCCGCACGAAAGGUGCAACGACUUGGGCACUGUCUCAACGAGAGACCCGGUGAAAUUAUACUAUGCGUGAAGAUGCGCAUUACCCGCGACAGGACGGAAAGACCCCGUGGAGCUUUACUGUAGCCUGAUAUUGAAUGUGGGUACAGCUUGUACAGGAUAGGCAGGAGCCAUUGAAGCCGGACCGCUAGGUUCGGUGGAGGCGCCGGUGGGAUACUGCCCUGGCUGUAUCGACCUUCUAACCCAGUACCGUGAUCCGGUACGGAGACAGUGUCAGGUGGGCAGUUUGACUGGGGCGGUCGCCUCCUAAAGAGUAACGGAGGCGCCCAAAGGUUCCCUCAGAAUGGUUGGAAAUCAUUCGUAGAGUGUAAAGGCACAAGGGAGCUUGACUGCGAGACCUACAAGUCGAGCAGGGACGAAAGUCGGGCUUAGUGAUCCGGUGGUUCCGCAUGGAAGGGCCAUCGCUCAACGGAUAAAAGCUACCCCGGGGAUAACAGGCUUAUCUCCCCCAAGAGUCCACAUCGACGGGGAGGUUUGGCACCUCGAUGUCGGCUCAUCGCAUCCUGGGGCUGUAGUCGGUCCCAAGGGUUGGGCUGUUCGCCCAUUAAAGCGGUACGCGAGCUGGGUUCAGAACGUCGUGAGACAGUUCGGUCCCUAUCCGUCGUGGGCGCAGGAAAUUUGAGAGGAGCUGUCCUUAGUACGAGAGGACCGGGAUGGACACACCGCUGGUGUACCAGUUGUUCCGCCAGGAGCAUCGCUGGGUAGCUACGUGUGGAAGGGAUAAGUGCUGAAAGCAUCUAAGCAUGAAGCCCCCCUCAAGAUGAGAUUUCCCAUCACGUUAAGUGAGUAAGAUCCCUCAGAGACGAUGAGGUAGAUAGGUCCGGGGUGGACGCGUGGCGACACGUGGAGCUGACGGAUACUAAUCGAUCGAGGCCUUCUCUU